Molecule: ribosomal RNA, 487 nt
Filed under: uncultured Glomus
Lineage: Eukaryota; Fungi; Glomeromycota; Glomeromycetes; Glomerales; Glomeraceae
Description: SSU rRNA
Rfam family: Eukaryotic small subunit ribosomal RNA
Source: RNAcentral
AGCAGCCGCGGUAAUUCCAGCUCCAAUAGCGUAUAUUAAAGUUGUUGCAGUUAAAAAGCUCGUAGUUGAAUUUCGGGGUCAGUAGGUUGGUCAUGCCNCCGGUACGUACUGGUCUCACUGAUUCCUCCUUCCUGAUGAGCNGUAAUGCCAUUAAUUUGGUGUUGCAGGGAAUCUGGACUGUUACUUUGAAAAAAUUAGAGUGUUUAAAGCAGGCUAACGCUUGAAUACAUUAGCAUGGAAUAAUGAAAUAGGACGUUCGAUCCUAUUUUGUUGGUUUCUAGGAUUGACGUAAUGAUUAAUAGGGAUAGUUGGGGGCAUUAGUAUUCAAUUGUCAGAGGUGAAAUUCUUGGAUUUAUUGAAGACUAACUACUGCGAAAGCAUUUGCCAAGGAUGUUUUCAUUAAUCAAGAACGAAAGUUAGGGGAUCGAAGACGAUCAGAUACCGUCGUAGUCUUAACCAUAAACUAUGCCGACUAGGGAUCGGAUGA